Molecule: non-coding RNA, 45 nt
Organism: Schistosoma rodhaini
Lineage: Eukaryota; Metazoa; Platyhelminthes; Trematoda; Strigeidida; Schistosomatidae
Source: Rfam
AUCCAGCUGACAAGUCCCAAAUAGGAUGAGAUACACGUCCUGGAU